AUUGAAUGCUGGCGGCAUGCCUUACACAUGCAAGUCGAACGGCAGCACGGGUGCUUGCACCUGGUGGCGAGUGGCGAACGGGUGAGUAAUACAUCGGAACAUGUCCUGUAGUGGGGGAUAGCCCGGCGAAAGCCGGAUUAAUACCGCAUACGAUCUACGGAUGAAAGCGGGGGACCUUCGGGCCUCGCGCUAUAGGGUUGGCCGAUGGCUGAUUAGCUAGUUGGUGGGGUAAAGGCCUACCAAGGCGACGAUCAGUAGCUGGUCUGAGAGGACGACCAGCCACACUGGGACUGAGACACGGCCCAGACUCCUACGGGAGGCAGCAGUGGGGAAUUUUGGACAAUGGGCGAAAGCCUGAUCCAGCAAUGCCGCGUGUGUGAAGAAGGCCUUCGGGUUGUAAAGCACUUUUGUCCGGAAAGAAAUCCUUAGCUCUAAUACAGUCGGGGGAUGACGGUACCGGAAGAAUAAGCACCGGCUAACUACGUG
RNAcentral lists this ribosomal RNA (486 nucleotides) under uncultured bacterium. RNAcentral's name for it is "partial 16S ribosomal RNA". It matches the Rfam family "Bacterial small subunit ribosomal RNA", at positions 30 to 507 of the family's 1533-position model. The record is from RNAcentral.